RNAcentral lists this ribosomal RNA (472 nucleotides) under uncultured bacterium. Its description in RNAcentral is "SSU rRNA". It matches the Rfam family "Bacterial small subunit ribosomal RNA", at positions 26 to 518 of the family's 1533-position model. The record is from RNAcentral.
AGGACGAACGCUGGCGGCGUGCUUAACACAUGCAAGUCGAGCGGAAAGGCCCUUCGGGGUACUCGAGCGGCGAACGGGUGAGUAACACGUGAGCAACCUGCCCCUGGCUCUGGGAUAGCCUCCGGAAACGGGGAUUAAUACCGGACAUUCUCCUCCUUCCGCAUGGUUGGUGGUGGAAAGUUUUUUCGGCCAGGGAGGGGCUCGCGGCCUAUCAGCUUGUUGGCGGGGUAACGGCCCACCAAGGCGACGACGGGUAGCCGGCCUGAGAGGGCGACCGGCCACGACUGGGACUGAGACACGGCCCAGACUCCUACGGGAGGCAGCAGUGGGGAAUAUUGCGCAAUGGGCGGAAGCCUGACGCAGCGACGCCGCGUGGGGGAUGAAGGCCUUCGGGUUGUAAACCCCUUUCACCAGGAGCGAAUCAAGACGGUACCUGGGAAGAAGCGCCGGCUAACUACGUGCCAGCAGCCGC